CUGAGUUUUACUUAGUUAUACGGCAAAUUUUUUACCAAAUACAAAUUUUAUACUUGACGAAUAUUUCUCUGAGUUUAGGUUAUUACUUGAGGAUGUUUAAGCUUUCAUUUUGCAUUUUGUUUCCUUUCUUAGUUGGAUUCAAAAGUAUAAUAAGAAUAAUACAUGGCUUAGUUAGAGAUGAGUAAGGAAAUAUAGAUAAUGAUUCAUGAACCUCCUCAGUUUUUGCUUCACUUACUUGAGCAUGAUUGUUUUGGUCAUUU
RNAcentral lists this long non-coding RNA (260 nucleotides) under Carica papaya (papaya). Its description in RNAcentral is "long non-coding RNA (CPAP_LNC016649)". The record is from RNAcentral. Lineage: Eukaryota; Viridiplantae; Streptophyta; Magnoliopsida; Brassicales; Caricaceae.